UGGGAUGAUGCUACCCUGUCAGAAGGAAUU
RNAcentral lists this non-coding RNA (30 nucleotides) under Rattus norvegicus (Norway rat). Lineage: Eukaryota; Metazoa; Chordata; Mammalia; Rodentia; Muridae. The record is from RNAcentral.